GACGAACGCUGGCGGCGUGCUUAACACAUGCAAGUCGAACGGAGAAUUUUAUUUCGGUGAAGGUCUUAGUGGCGAACGGGUGAGUAACGCGUAGACAACCUACCUCUCAGAUGGGGACAACAUCGCGAAAGCGGUGCUAAUACCGAAUGAUGUAACUUUUCUGCAUGGAGAAGUUACCAAAGGCGGCCUCUAUUUAUAAGCUGUCAAUGAGAGAUGGCUCUGCGUCUGAUUAGCUGGUUGGCGGGGUAAUGGCCCACCAAGGCGACUAUCAGUAGCCGGUCUCAGAGGAUGAACGGCCACAUUGGGACUGAGACAUGGCCCAAACUCCUACGGGAGGCAGCAGUGGGGAAUCUUCCGCAAUGGACGAAAGUCUGACGGAGCAACGCCGCGUGAGUGAAGAAGGUUUUCGGAUCGUAAAGCUCUGUUGUUUGAGACGAACGUGCAAUUUUUGAAUAAGGAAUUGUAAUGGCGGUAUUAAACGAGAAAGCCACGGCUAACUACGUGCCAGCCGCCGCGGUAA
RNAcentral lists this ribosomal RNA (520 nucleotides) under uncultured bacterium. RNAcentral describes it as "partial 16S ribosomal RNA". It matches the Rfam family "Bacterial small subunit ribosomal RNA", at positions 28 to 523 of the family's 1533-position model. The record is from RNAcentral.